AACGAACGCUGGCGGCAUGCCUAACACAUGCAAGUCGAACGAGACCUUCGGGUCUAGUGGCGCACGGGUGCGUAACGCGUGGGAACCUGCCCUUAGGUUCGGAAUAACUCCCCGAAAGGGGUGCUAAUACCGGAUAAUGUCUUCGGACCCAAGAUUUAUCGCCUUUGGAUGGGCCCGCGUUGGAUUAGCUAGUUGGUAGGGUAAAAGCCUACCAAGGCGACGAUCCAUAGCUGGUCUGAGAGGAUGAUCAGCCACACUGGGACUGAGACACGGCCCAGAAUACUACGGGAGGCAGCAGUGGGUAAUAUUGGACAACGGGCGAAAGCAUGAUCCAGCAAUGCCGCGUGAGUGAUGAAGGCGUUAGAGUUGUAAAGCUCUUUUACCCGGGAUGAUAAUGACAGUACCGGGAGAAUAAGCUCCGGCUAACUCCGUG
This 433-nucleotide ribosomal RNA is filed under the name uncultured bacterium. RNAcentral's name for it is "partial 16S ribosomal RNA". It matches the Rfam family "Bacterial small subunit ribosomal RNA", at positions 29 to 507 of the family's 1533-position model. The record is from RNAcentral.